GAAAUGCGAUAAGUAAUGUGAAUUGCAGAAUUCAGUGAAUCAUCGAAUCUUUGAACGCACCUUGCGCUCCUUGGUAUUCCUUGGAGCAUGCCUGUUUGAGUAUCAUGAAAUCUUCAAAGUAAAUCUUUUGUUAACUCAAUUGGUUUCUACUUUGGUAUUGGAGGUCUUUGCAGCUUCACACCUGCUCCUCUUUGUUCAUUAGCUGGAUCUCAGUGUUAUGCUUGGUUCCACUCGGCGUGAUAAGUUAUCUAUCGCUGAGGACACUGUAAAAGGGCCAAGGUAAAUGCAGAUGAACCGCUUCUAAUAGUCCAUUGACUUGGACAAUACUUUUAUGAUCUGAUCUCAAAUCAGGUAGGACUACCCGCUGAACUUAAGC
Molecule: unclassified non-coding RNA, 376 nt
Filed under: plant metagenome
Description: partial contains 5.8S ribosomal RNA, internal transcribed spacer 2, and large subunit ribosomal RNA
Rfam family: 5.8S ribosomal RNA (bases 1-105)
Source: RNAcentral